UGGCCUCUCUCCUCUUUAGAUUGAGCUUGAAGCAUUAUGCCAAAGACUUGAGCUUGCAGCAAGUCACCAGUUCAGAAAUUUACAAAUUGAGGCAGACUGCCGCUAUACUUUCAUUAAUUGAACCAAACUCAUCACCACUUUAUAAUGCCUUUUUUUUGGAAAUGCAGGUAUUGGCUGAAGAUGAUGAGGAAUCCACCUAUUCUAUACAAUUUCAGAAAACGCAACAACAUCGCGCAUGAUCUGGCGCAACAAGGAGUUCAACAAGUCAUCAUUAAUCAGAUAUAUCUAGAAGUACCGUACUAUCUUAAAGAAGCUAUGCGUACUGAUAAAGAAGGAC
Molecule: long non-coding RNA, 337 nt
Filed under: Nicotiana benthamiana
Lineage: Eukaryota; Viridiplantae; Streptophyta; Magnoliopsida; Solanales; Solanaceae
Description: long non-coding RNA (NBEN_LNC009316)
Source: RNAcentral